CGGCGAAAGAGAUCGUGGACGUCCAUCUUUACCCAGAAAGCUCCACUGUUCUACGGCGCCUGCGCAGACUACUUCCCAGGCCCCGGGCAGCGUCGGAAGAGGGCGUGAGCAUAAUUGGCUCCUGUAGGCGGAGCCUGGCUGGAUAAAGAAACAGAAACUCGAAGUAACCAGGUCUGUAAACCCCGCACUAUGAGAGGCUGAGGCAGAAGGGAUUGUUUGAAGCCAGGAGAUUGAGACCAGCCUGCACAAUAUAAGGAGACCUUGUCUCUGCAAAAAAUUAAAAAAACAAAAGAAACUCAAAGAGGAGGACAAAGACUCUCUCCAGUGAAGCCUUUCUCUUCUCCUCAGGCCUCUCCUUCCUGACUCAGCCUUGGUUUACCACUGAGAUUUGCCAUAUACCAUACAGAUGAACAAAAACGUUACCAAUUAUUGGCAGGGUUUUUUGUUUGUUUUUUUGUUUUUUUUUUUAACCAAAUGUCAAGUUGGUGAUGAAGUUAUCUGGAAAUGUCAACCAAACCCAGAAGACUACACAAGACUACAGGAGAAGGCACUCUGGGUAACAGAUUCAAGUUUUUGCAUCAGUUUGUUCGAUGAAGGAUCACAACAUAGACAGUACGGCUUUCUUGCUUCCUCUUCAGUGGUUCUUUGUCUCCCACCUCCAGGACAGACAGGAGUCCUUGACAUCGUGGGAGAGGCAUUGUGGCAAUACUGCAUAGAAGGGAAGCUGGGCUUCGGGCUGCGCCUCCUGAGAGUGGAUUGUCUGAGGUGCCAGCAGGACGUCCGUCAGGUAAGCAGGGACCUCUCGCAGGUGCUUGUCAGGUCACUGGGCUUUUCCAUGACAGCUGCCCAGAGGGUGAUGGUGUGGAAAACAGGGUCCUUGUUGCUGCGCACAAAGUAAGUGGUGUGUGGGCAUCACCAGGCUU
Molecule: long non-coding RNA, 923 nt
Filed under: Pan troglodytes (chimpanzee)
Lineage: Eukaryota; Metazoa; Chordata; Mammalia; Primates; Hominidae
Description: long non-coding RNA NONPTRT007150
Source: RNAcentral